Long non-coding RNA from Gasterosteus aculeatus aculeatus (three-spined stickleback), 6124 nucleotides. NCBI's taxonomy places the organism in Eukaryota, Metazoa, Chordata, Actinopteri, Perciformes, Gasterosteidae. The record is from Ensembl.
AUGUUAAAUCAAAUAUCACUGACACAUUAACAUAUUAACAUACUGAAUGGAGUCCUCUAAUUGAAUCAGAGGUUCUAAUGAGGGAAAUGAUCUUCUCCUUGUAGCAACGCUCUCUAGACAGUUUACAGGCGUUUCCAUGGCGACAGAGUGAGUCAAUUGUUGCCGGUGAAGCGUCUUAAAGACCAGGGGUCCGUUUAAGUGAAAACAGGGUAAACCGACUCAGACAUUAGGGUUUGACUCGGAGUUUGUUAAACCUCCUACUUGAAAUGGACCCCUGCUGAGAGGCGCGCGUGUGUGUGUGUGUGUGUGUGUGUUUGUGUACUGUGGGGACUGAUACAUAUUAGUCUAUAAAGGGUUUGUUUUGAUCUGAGUCCAUGCUGAACACACACAUACACUCAAUACACACACACACACACACACCUCUACAUUACACACAAACAAUGUGUAAUGUUUGUCUCAUCAAAGAGACCUUGAGUAUGAAAUAAAUGUAGUGAGUCUGAGAGGAAGCGUAAGCGAGCAGGCCAACAGGUCAUCCCCCCCUUCACCCCCUCAGGUAAACACCGUCAGGUAAACACCGUCAGGUAAACACCGUCAGGCCAGAAGGAAUAUGUACAGUACAUGUGCACAGCAUAUGUAUGUCUAUGUGUUUGUGUGUUUCAUCAGAUCAAAACACAAACCCCUAAUAUCCAUCAGCCCCACAGUACACACACACACACACACACACACACACACACACACACACACACACACACACACACACAAACUGCGUCCUCCCUCUCCAACUGUUUCCUUUCUGUCCUUUCGUCUCCUCUGCGUCUCAUUGGUCCGAUCGGUCUCGCUGGCAGCCAAUCAGCUCUCAGCGUGGGGAUGGUGCGCUUCAUCCCGGGAGGGGUCCACUGCCGGGAAGAGACGGGAGGAGACGAGCAUCACCUCCUCCUUCCCCUCCGCUCGAUGUUUCCCGGAAGUGUGUGUGUGUGUGCAUGUGUGUGUGCGUGCGUGUGUGUGUGUGUGUGCGCGCGCGUGUGUGUGUGUGUGUGUGCGUGUGUGUGUGAGUGUUUUGUGUGUUUUUCUAUUGGAAGUGUCCGUGCACUGAUCCUCUCUCUGCAGACCUUUGACCCCCCUGAUGUAUUUAACUGUGAUUUACUUGAAGAAGGUGAGACAGGUGAGACAGGCGAGGGAGAAGCCGACCAAUCAGAGGAGGUUUUGUUCGACACGAGGCCCUGGAGGAGGUUGGGGAAGUCGGUCAAACACACCUUUACCUUUGCUGGUUGUUUAAUCGAUUGAUUCACAAAACAGGUCAAUAUGUGUUCACAUGUUUCUAUUAUAGUACGUAGAUCUAUAGAACUAGAGGCUGGCUGAGGCGCUGCAGUGCACCAGCAGGUGGCGCUGUAACCUCCCAGGUCAACUGGUUGUUAUGAAGACGAGCAGACAUGAGUCACAGACAGACAGAGGGACGGACAGCUCCGUCUCCUGACUCAUCUCUCGUCUCAGACACUUUCUCCUCACUCGGGUCUUUUUUCUGCUGAGUUCAGAGUGACUCGUCACAACACGACUGAGGACUUUUUCCUGCCUCGCGACCUUCACGCGCUUUUGUUUAACGGUUUUCAUUUGGAUCUUUUUUCCGUUGACUCCAAACUUUUUACGACGAUCACUUUUUAAUUUUAUCGUUUACUUCAGACUGAAACUAAAACGACAUCAACCACCACUACUGCUAAAAACAUGUGAUCUCUGUUUGUUUUUUAUUUAAGCCAAAAAUACUUUCGCAGAAGUCAUUUUAUUUCAGUGACUUUUAUGGUUGUAGAGGUCACAUGUGUUAUAACGCAGUUAUCAUCCUCCUGCUGUUUUUAAUCUGCAUAACUACAACCACUACGACCUCAGCGCUGUGAGGUAACGCGGCCUCUCCUCGCGUCGUCCGUCUCUCGUCUCUCGUCUUACUGGGAUCGUUCUGUUAUCAACUUUCAGCGCGUUUUCUGCACUUUUUGCAUUUCGUGGCGUCUCCCGUUUCCCCCUCGUUCCUCCGCCUCAGCACCUUCUCCUUUCACCAUCUGUGCUUUGUGCCCCGACAGCAGAGACGCAGGAGACGCUCUGUUUGUCCGUCCAGCACUCUGUCCCACGUCUCGCGGAGGGAAAGGAGUGCACUUGUACAAUAGAGUGUUAGAAAGAUAUGAACAGGUGCAAAGAGAAUAUAAAAUGUGCAAGAAAGAUACUUAAAUGCACUAAAAAAAAAAGGGAAGUUGGACAAAAGAUAUUAAAAUGUGCUAACGCGCCCUUGUCCCCAGAGGUUGAACUGUGUUGUCUCCCUGUUUCCGUCAGCCACGUCCCUCUCAGCUGAGAGAAGAGGAAGUGGCGGCCUGAAGGAGGUCACGCUGUUCCUGGCGGAGGAGCUGUCAUCUCGCCACAUUCCUGAGGGAGGGGGGAAGAGAAAGUGAGAGUCUUCUGAUCACACAGACGGGUUCCUGGUCUCCGAUCUGAUCCCAGGCCAGUGGUUCCGUGCUCACCGGGCCGUUUGACAAGGGUUUUUGACGAGGGACACAUCCACAUGAGGACAAAAGUCCUGAUGCACAUGGGGACAAAAGUCCUGAUGCACAUGUAAAAAGUACAACACUGGUGUAACAGGUUGUCUUCGUCCUCUUCUUAUUUUCUGUUUUGAUAAAACAGCAGUCAUGGCCAUCACAUGACAUCCAUACUCACACACUCACACACACACACACACACACACACACUCACACUCAAACACAUGGUGAUGGCAUGCUUAGUCAUCAGCAUUAGAUACCACAUGGCAGCCUGGCGGGCGAUGAUGAUGAUCUCCAUCAGGUUCAGGCCUCUCGGGAGGCUGCAGGGCUCCUUCACCUGCUGCCAGGGGUCCGUUUCAAGAAGCGGGUUUAGUGGAAACUCAGAGUUUGUGAACCCUGAGAUGAUGGAAACUCUGGCUUGUCUGUUUCACAAAGGGAGGUGAAUAAAGCUCAGGCUCUGUCUCCAUGGUAACUAAAGCUCAGGCUCAGUCUCCAUGGUAACUAAAGCUCAGGCUCAGUCUCCAUGGUAACUGAAGCUCAGGCUCAGUCUUCAUGGUAACUGAAGCUCAGGCUCAGUCUCCAUGGUAACUGAAGCUCAGGCUCAGUCUUCAUGGUAACUGAAGCUCAGGCUCAGUCUCCAUGGUAACUGAAGCUCAGGCUCAGUCUUCAUGGUAACUGAAGCUCAGGCUCAGUCUCCAUGGUGACUAAAGCUCAGGCUCAGUCUCCAUGGUAACUAAAGCUCAGGCUCAGUCUCCAUGGUAACUGAAGCUCAGGCUCAGUCUCCAUGGUAACUGAAGCUCAGGCUCAGUCUCCAUGGUAACUGAGCCUGUGAACAUCAUCUGGUCGGGAGCAGGUUUUAGUUAGUCUGUAUCCGGCGGAUUUUAGUGCAGUUUCCACAUAUGGACAAGAUAAGGUUACGUUAAAGUCUAGUGUUUAGUGUUUUCUGGGACAUGUCACGUCCUUUUCUGGACGAUCCUGUUGAUGAAGAAGCGGUUUUACUUCGCAGGAGAGAAUAUUGAGGCCCUGAUUAGAUGUAUUGUCAUUUCCAGAUAACUGCUUGUUUGAACGGUAUCGUUUUUCUUCACAGGCCAUCAAAUAUGUACAUGACCUCACCCGUCCUCAUAUGAGUAACGUCCCCCAUCGUGGACAUGCUCUCACAUACGGGCACAUUCUUCGUGUAGUAUUACGUUUUUUUCCUUUACAACAUUCUAAUAUCAGUAAAGCUGCUGCAUGCAGAGCCGUGAGGAACGUGUGCGUCGCUCUGAAACGUCUUUUAAACCUUUUUGUUCCCUGGACACAAACCAAAUUAAAGUUCCACAGGAUGCACCUGAAUAAAACACAUUAUAGGUCCAAUACCAGUGAACCAGUUUUUACCAGCAAUAUUAUUCUAAAUAUGAGGGGGAAUCAGUAAAACGUAUGGAUUAGGAUUCAUGUGUACAAUAACUAUUAACUAACAACACUGUGUUGGAACAUACACAGUUUUUUUUCAUUCUAAUUACGGGUUCAUACUCGCCUUACUUGCUUGCAUUAAUAUUCUCAGCUCAAUAGGGGUGAAUAUAUCGUGGUGGUUGCCGUGGUGAUUCGCAGUAUCGUGGCUCCAUUCAUGCUGCCUUCACACUGUGGUGCUGCACGCGCUCAACUCAGCGUCGGCCUACUCCGACCGGACCACCUGUAAACCCAACUCUUCUGACUCUGACCCUGGUGAGCACGCGAGUCGCCGUUGAUCAACACAACGACUAGACAACAACAACAAAUAAUAAUGCAUCCCACCCUGCGAUGUCACGUGCGGCUCACCUGCGCCUCCGGUGCGACGGGCGCCGUGUGCCUGACGUGGGUCGCGACCUCGCGGGUCGCCGUGUGCCAGGCAGGCCGAGUGCACGGGUGUGGGGAAUGGUAUGUUCUCGGGGGUUAAUUACACGCGUGUGAUUCUGCAGAGCCGCCAGAGGAGCGUCGGGGACGUGAGGUGAGGAAUGUCCGCAGAGGAACCGGAGGAGCCGGUUUCCUUCUAACCUCCUCCUGGCGGAACGUGGUCUGGGUCACAGUGAAGACCGGCAGACUAUUUAUGUGGAGCAAUGAGCCGUGAAUGAAAUAUGGAACAAGCAGAAAGUAGAACGAUGUCAGCGAAACCUGCUGCACGCUCUGUAAUACGCCGUAAUACACACUCACCACACAAUGAUUUGCUAAAGACAACAAAGUUUAAUUUCAUCACGAGAGGGAGGAAAUACUUUGAUUAUUUAUUUCAGUGAUUGAAGUAUUGAAACCAGCCAAUAAAAGUCGUAAAGUGGAGUUACUUCGUCGAAAGUUACUUCAGUAAAAGUUACUUGAACGUAAAAGUGUCAAACUGUAUCAAAGGUACUUCUAAAAAAACCUCUUAUAAUAUUUGAUACAUUAAUGUGUUCAUCACCUUAAUAUUGAAUUUGAAUGACAGAUCAUACCUUCACAUGUAUGUCAGCGUGUCCUCGCUCUCUGUGGGCGUGUCCUCGCUCUCUGUGGGCGUGUCCUCAUACAGCGACGUCCGUCAUUACAGUUAAUGACGUUUAAUCGUCUCACCGUUCCACACAAAACAUACCGAUCUAUUCCGGGGACGAGGAGGAAGCUGAAGAGAGACACACUUGGCUGCUGCACAGAGACACGCGUCUGGCAUGUGGACGAUGUAGUGCAACAGGGACGGGGGACACCGUGUAUUAUAGGUCAGGACGCUUCGCCACAGGAGCCGAGAGCUGAGAGCCAUGAGAGACAUAAGAUCUAAGAGGGACAUGAGAGACAUGAGAAAGACAUGAAAGGACAUGAAAGGACAUGAAACCAGCCGAUUAAAAGUCUUAAAUUCACCAAGUUACUUAAACAAAAAAGUGUCAAAUUUGAUCAAAAGUUCUUCUACUGCAGAACAAAACCUCUUAUAUAAUUGAUACAUUAACGUGUUCAUCACCUUAUUAUUGAAUUUGAAUGACAUCAUAUGAUCUUCACAUGUGGGUCAGCGUGUCCUCGUACAGUGACGUCUUCCCAACCAUCCGCACUGUUAAUGACUUUUAAUCGUCUCACCCUUCCACAGAAAACAAAAUGAUCUCUUCCGAGACGAGAAGGAAGACACGUGUCUGGUAUGUGGACGAUGUAGUGCAACGGGGACGGAGGACACCGUGUAUUAUAGGUCAGGACGCUUCACGGGAAACUGUCUCUGCCAGAGCGAUGCACCGCGUCACCUGACCUAAAAAAAGGAUUCGUCACCACGGAAUGUCCCGUCAAACAAAGACAUAUGAGAGACAUGAGGGGACAUGAGAGACCACGCACGCAUGCUGAUCCCAGGUCAGUCUGAACUGUCCGGGGGCCAAGACACUUUACCAAAAGCAGAAUCACACACAGACAUGGAUGCUGAAUCAGCAGAGGGCCGUCAAGGAGGAGGACUAAUGAUGACGAUGAUGGGAGGAGGAGGAGGAGGAGGAGGAGGAGGAGGAGGUCAGGGCUCCGCAGGAGGUCACAGCAGGAGUCAGACUGUGGGAACAGGACACACACACACACACACUUACGCACUCAGAGGUGUGAAGUCUGGUUUUGGGGUUUGGGUGCGUUCAGGUGCUGCUGGAGUUUGUAGCUGUUGGUUUUAACACUCUAGGUGU